Molecule: long non-coding RNA, 438 nt
Filed under: Mytilus galloprovincialis (Mediterranean mussel)
Lineage: Eukaryota; Metazoa; Mollusca; Bivalvia; Mytilida; Mytilidae
Source: RNAcentral
CUGACAACUAAACCACCAUAUCCUGAUAUAUCGUUUCUGGUGACAUGAAAGAUGACAGGAAAAAAAACUAAUCUAUAAUAGAGUGUGAUCAUUCCUAGGCUUAUCGGUAAAUUCCAGUUUCUAUCUAGAUCCACAUAUUAAUUUUAUUUUCAAUAAAAGAACAAAGUUCAUAUGUCCCCUGCAUUGCACAUAUUUUAUGUAACCAAGAAACAAGGGCAAUAACUAAUAAAAAAUAAUGUUUUUCUUUUUAUUUUUAAUGGAGACAUAAAAGCUUCAGAGAAAAUGCAAUGGGAUUUUCGUUAUUAUUAUAUGCAAAGGUAAAAGCUUACGACUUAUUUUUGAAAUUGUCAUUGCUGAUGAUUUAAAAAUCUGGCAAGAAUUGUACACAUAAGAGUGCAAACGAGACCGGAUGGACGGACACCAGGAAUUUCGAUGAUG